UAUCAUUCGGUAUGGUAAUGAUUUGUGAGGCAGAUGCUCAUUUUCAUAGAUAUGCAUCAUAUCCAUAAAUAUGCAACAGAUGUGGGUUCCUGCUGGUCUUGAAAACAGAAAUCAACCUGUUGGUUUAGCUGAUUGUGAGACUGAUACGUGCAAAUAGAAUAGGUGAACCUGUUCAGCAGCAGAUACAAGCAGAUUCAAUUCAAGAUUGAAAAAAAUAUUUUUAUGAAAAAUUAGUUUCUUACAAUUACGUAAUAUUAAUGAUUACACCGUUUUUGCAUUUGCAACCAUGGAGAAACACUACACAAUGUGGAUGUUAACUCUUUUUGAUCUCUCUCUCUCUAUUUCUCUGAUAUUUUCCUUUGAUGAGUUUUAAAGCGAGGUCAUUUCUAAGCCACGCCCACUCCACUCCAUUGGCCACUCGCCGAUCUCCCCGGAAGCUGACUGGCUCACCUGGCGGCUGGCGUCUCCCACCUGUUCCGACAGUCACUCCCAGCAGUCGAGCCGCUGCGGACGGAGGGAAGCGACUUUGCGCCGGUGCCAUGGACUGAGAGCUGGGAACAGCUUCUGUUUGCUGCUCCAGUAACUUGAAUGUUUCAGUGAUCGACGUGUGACUCAGUAGGAGACUACAGCAGGACUGCAAGUCCAGACCAUCUUCCCUCGUCCUUUUCCGCGUGCGUUGCCGAAGGAUGACGCGUGGUCAGGAGCUCUUGCCAUGGAAUUGCUGAGCAGUGGGGUCAGCGCUGGGAGCUGUGACAGUGUGAUCAGCAUGACCUCGGCCUGUAGUGAAGACAGCAUGGAGCACCUGUCUGCAGAGGAACGGGCCUGUCUGAUGUAUCUGGUGGAAACCAUUGAGGCCUUGGAGGUGCAGGAGGACAGCGGCUUGUCCAAUGAUGAACCCGACCACGGGCUCCAUGGUACGGUUCUGGCAUGUUAACUGAAAUGUUGCUCUGGCCUUCGUAAUAACCCAUGAGGGUUGUUGUAACCUUGACGUCAGGCUGUCUAUCCGUGAUGCCUGCAGUGCUGAAGUGAAGUGAAGUGUUUAUUGUAAACUGUUUACUGGAAUCCAGAGAAGAGGCAGUUUGGUCAAACAGGAACAG
This 1097-nucleotide long non-coding RNA is filed under the name Betta splendens (Siamese fighting fish). RNAcentral describes it as "lncRNA (ENSBSLG00000012416.1)". The record is from RNAcentral. Lineage: Eukaryota; Metazoa; Chordata; Actinopteri; Anabantiformes; Osphronemidae.